AUGAUCUACGGAUUCGAGUCGUCACCAUCUUCUUCGUCAUCAGACGAUGACUUUCCUGUCGUUCCCGAAAUGCGUCCAACCGACCUGUUGAGUUUGGCCAUGAAGAAGCGUCGUGCAUUGUACAACCAGAAGGAAAGGAACAUGCGGUGCGAGGUUUUGCAAACCUCGUUUAUUACUAGUUUGUAAUGAUCAACAUCAGCUGUGCGUCGCCGAACCAAUCGCCAAGAAAGCCAAAACAAGCAACUUCAUGGAUCCCUUCGGACUGGAAGAUUUCUUCAAGGGAAUUAGUUCCCGAUCUGUUAAAGGUUGUCUACUACUGAGCUAGCUGUGGACCACGUCAUUCUCGCUCAUCAUCGGAUCGUUCCCCACUGAGCAACUCGACUCCGAAGUCACUGGAGGAUAGCGCUUGAAGACCGUCGUUCAUCAGGAUCUCACCGAUUUCAUAUUACGGGCAUCGUCUCAAUAGGACAACUUGAAAUAAACAUGGUUUUUUAAUACAUACCUCUUCAAUA
Molecule: unclassified non-coding RNA, 512 nt
Filed under: Caenorhabditis elegans
Lineage: Eukaryota; Metazoa; Nematoda; Chromadorea; Rhabditida; Rhabditidae
Description: Non-coding transcript of protein-coding gene tos-1
Source: RNAcentral